GCGGGUAUGGUUCAAUGGUAGAACGUCAGCCUUCCAAGCUGAACACAGGGGUUCGAUUCCCCUUACCCGCUCCA
This 74-nucleotide transfer RNA is filed under the name Clostridium botulinum. RNAcentral's name for it is "tRNA-Gly". It matches the Rfam family "tRNA". Rfam says of the family: Transfer RNA (tRNA) molecules are approximately 80 nucleotides in length. Their secondary structure includes four short double-helical elements and three loops (D, anti-codon, and T loops). Further hydrogen bonds mediate the characteristic L-shaped molecular structure. tRNAs have two regions of fundamental functional importance: the anti-codon, which is responsible for specific mRNA codon recognition, and the 3' end, to which the tRNAs corresponding amino acid is attached (by aminoacyl-tRNA synthetases). tRNAs cope with the degeneracy of the genetic code in two manners: having more than one tRNA (with a specific anti-codon) for a particular amino acid; and 'wobble' base-pairing, i.e. permitting non-standard base-pairing at the 3rd anti-codon position. RNAcentral also lists the same sequence under 43 other names. Lineage: Bacteria; Bacillati; Bacillota; Clostridia; Eubacteriales; Clostridiaceae. The record is from RNAcentral.